This 541-nucleotide ribosomal RNA is filed under the name uncultured Cytophagales bacterium. Its description in RNAcentral is "bacterial SSU rRNA". It matches the Rfam family "Bacterial small subunit ribosomal RNA", at positions 355 to 896 of the family's 1533-position model. Lineage: Bacteria; Pseudomonadati; Bacteroidota; Sphingobacteriia; Sphingobacteriales. The record is from RNAcentral.
UAAGGAAUAUUGGUCAAUGGACGCAAGUCUGAACCAGCUAUGCCGCGUGAAGGAUUAAGGUCCUCUGGAUUGUAAACUUCUUUUAUCUGGGACGAAAAAAGGCCUUUCUAGGCUUCUUGACGGUACCAGAUGAAUAAGCACCGGCUAACUCCGUGCCAGCAGCCGCGGUAAUACGGAGGGUGCAAGCGUUAUCCGGAUUCACUGGGUUUAAAGGGUGCGUAGGCGGGCAGGUAAGUCAGUGGUGAAAUCCUGGAGCUCAACUCCAGAACUGCCGUUGAUACUAUCUGUCUUGAAUAUUGUGGAGGUAAGCGGAAUAUGUCAUGUAGCGGUGAAAUGCUUAGAUAUGACAUAGAACACCCAUUGCGAAGGCAGCUUACUACGCAUAUAUUGACGCUGAGGCACGAAAGCGUGGGGAUCAAACAGGAUUAGAUACCCUGGUAGUCCACGCCCUAAACUAUGAUUACUCGACAUUUGUGAUACACUAUAAGUGUCUGAGCGAAAGCAUUAAGUAAUCCACCUGGGAAGUACGUCCGCAAGGAUG